RNAcentral lists this long non-coding RNA (1622 nucleotides) under Rattus norvegicus (Norway rat). RNAcentral describes it as "long non-coding RNA NONRATT026788". The record is from RNAcentral. Lineage: Eukaryota; Metazoa; Chordata; Mammalia; Rodentia; Muridae.
CUUCCUGAAGCUGCAUCCCUCCCUUGGCCAGCGCUGUCCCCAGGCAGAACGUCUGCAGGGGAAAGGAUCCUGGGGCUCGUAAGAUGAAGACUGUGUUAGCACACGAGCAAAGUGAUCACAGGCCCUCCUGCCUCAGUUUCCCCAGUGCUGAGAGGAAGGAGUCAUACCAGAUGUCGAGGCAACUUCUGGUUUUGGGUGGCUCUGGGUGACACUCUCACAGCUGCUUGCAAAGGGCUUGGAGCUACUUCCUCUGUGAAGCCUCCUCCCUCAGACACAGGAAGGGCCAUGGCUAUGCAGAUAGCAGGGUACUAUGUGGGGGUGGAGGUCCCCAUCAGAAGCCUCUAAGGGAAUAGCUGAAGGGCCCCAUGAGGCUUCUGAUUGGGAUCUGCUGGGAUGCACCUCUCAUGUAUGUGUCUGAGGCUAAGAAUCUAAACACUGUCCGGGACACAGGAGAACGCCCGUCCCCAGAGGACAACAUAACCUUUGACUUAGCAGGCCCUGAGCACCCUGCUCCCUCCCAGCUGGUUGACCCUGGCUCACCCACCACCCAACCUCUCUGAGCCUCCUCUCUUCCCUUGGCAAACAGGGGUUAGAGGUCAGGGUCUUUCCCAGUGCUGACUCCAGAGCUACUAGAAGCAAGAGCUGUGUCCAUGUGGGUGUGAGCACUCGGGUGGGCUGGAGGACCCCAGGUGGCCAUCAUGAAAAUCUGUCCCCUGCCCGUGGUUUCUGUGGGUGACAGAUGUGCCAAUUAGUAGCAUGUCCUAAAAGGACACAGAGUAGAGACAAAGUCCUGAACAGUUGUUGCGCUGUCUCUGCCGAGCUUCCCACUGCUGUCUCCUCCAGCUGCAACUGUCCUCUUUCCAUGAGCCUCAGGCGACAGUACAUGCCUGCAGCCACAAGUAGCCACAGGAAGCAGAGAAGCUGCAGACACGGGGUGCCCACAGAGGGUCACGGAAUGUCUUUGUGUCUGUCUGGCUUUGUCCCAGUGGGUACCCGAUGUCCCUAGUGAUCAGUGUUACACCUGUCAUCUGUGUGCUCUAGAACCUCCAUUCAGAACUCCUCCCUCCCUGGUUGGCUGCACCCACCAAGGAAAUGGCUUACUCAUCCCGUGUGGGAGUGGCCAAGCAUCUGAUGGUGACUGUAACCAGUAUGCAACAGGCCUUAAUCCAAACAGGAGCACACACACAUACACACACAAACAUGCAUAUCCAGGAACACACACAUGUGUGCACACACACACACACACACAAACAUGCAUAUCUAGGAACACACACAUGUGUGCACACACACAUAUACAUACACCCACACAUGUGAACAUACUUGUUCAUGUGUCCACACAUGCAGAUGCACACACACACAGUAUAUACAUAUGCACAUAUUCGUGUGUGCACGUCUAUACACACACCUAUGAGUGUCACUUACAUGUGUUCAGUAAUGAACACCUUUGAACAUACACAUGUAUACAUGACAACAGAAAUAGUCACCCAUGUAUGCAUACACACCCAUGGAUACCACAUGCACGUGUUCAAACAUGUAUAUACACACACACACACUUACAUGCACACACACAUGAACUCACACAUACAUGCUCCACAAGAGGCUGUAAGAAGAUCCUUGGGCUU